Molecule: ribosomal RNA, 645 nt
Filed under: Achromobacter sp. enrichment culture clone CH2_3_5
Lineage: Bacteria; Pseudomonadati; Pseudomonadota; Betaproteobacteria; Burkholderiales; Alcaligenaceae
Description: bacterial SSU rRNA
Rfam family: Bacterial small subunit ribosomal RNA
Source: RNAcentral
CGGGGGAUAACUACGCGAAAGCGUAGCUAAUACCGCAUACGCCCUACGGGGGAAAGCAGGGGAUCGCAAGACCUUGCACUAUUGGAGCGGCCGAUAUCGGAUUAGCUAGUUGGUGGGGUAACGGCUCACCAAGGCGACGAUCCGUAGCUGGUUUGAGAGGACGACCAGCCACACUGGGACUGAGACACGGCCCAGACUCCUACGGGAGGCAGCAGUGGGGAAUUUUGGACAAUGGGGGAAACCCUGAUCCAGCCAUCCCGCGUGUGCGAUGAAGGCCUUCGGGUUGUAAAGCACUUUUGGCAGGAAAGAAACGUCAUGGGUUAAUACCCCGUGAAACUGACGGUACCUGCAGAAUAAGCACCGGCUAACUACGUGCCAGCAGCCGCGGUAAUACGUAGGGUGCAAGCGUUAAUCGGAAUUACUGGGCGUAAAGCGUGCGCAGGCGGUUCGGAAAGAAAGAUGUGAAAUCCCAGAGCUUAACUUUGGAACUGCAUUUUUAACUACCGGGCUAGAGUGUGUCAGAGGGAGGUGGAAUUCCGCGUGUAGCAGUGAAAUGCGUAGAUAUGCGGAGGAACACCGAUGGCGAAGGCAGCCUCCUGGGAUAACACUGACGCUCAUGCACGAAAGCGUGGGGAGCAAACAGGA